Photinus pyralis (common eastern firefly) is the source of this 3200-nucleotide RNA transcript. It is a transcript of the gene named inhibitor of nuclear factor kappa-B kinase subunit alpha-like, with no coding region annotated. NCBI's taxonomy places the organism in Eukaryota, Metazoa, Arthropoda, Insecta, Coleoptera, Lampyridae. The record is from RefSeq and is a predicted model, not a curated record. The transcript is spliced from 8 exons.
AGGCAUAAAAGGAUUUAUUACAGCAAUGAUGAGAUAUUCCUUGUGCAACUAUCCUAUUUAUUACUUGGUUUGCGUUACACAAAACCGAGUCACUGGUUCAGAUCCAGAUUGAGAAUGAACAAAUUUGCUGUGACCACUCGUGUACCUGCGCAUGCGCGAUUCUGCCCAAUAUCCUUUCAGCUCUUCGUUUUAUGUCUAAAAAGCGUGUACCCAAUUUGGUUCCAAUCGGUGCAUCUGUUUAGACGGAAAUUCGAGAGUACAGACAGACCGAGAGGCACUCUGAGAUUACCGAGAUUUUGUUUGGUUCGGAUCCUGAUGCUUGUGUAUUUUUCGGAAUUAGAUUCUCUAUGCUUUUAGUUUCGAUUAUAUUGAUGACAAAUUAUAAAACAAAAGCAUAAAUAUACUCGAAAUUGAUCGUUUUUAUAGAAAAUAAACGAUAAUUUAAUAUAAUUCAAUAUAAAUAAAUAGGUUGCUUAAUUUGUGAAACUUUCUUGUUUUCACACAUAUAUGACCAUGACGUCAAACGGCUGUUUUAGUAGAUAAACAAUGUUGCUAAUUUUAAUGACCCAAAAACAAGACUUGGCAACAUAGUGCACGCCUUUUGUUUUUAUUUUAUCUCUCUCUGCAGUAAAAACUUAACCUUAACCUCACAAAAGUAGUAAUAAUUUAAUUUCUUUGUUAUUGUUUAUCACCUUAAUACUUAAUUCCCCACUAAUGUUUAAACAAAAUAAUCCAUCCACCCUCGUGGAUAUAAACGGCGAGCCCACUUCUGUAGGUGAUUGGAAACGUGAAAAAGAGUUGGGCUCCGGUGGUUUUGGUGUUGUACAUCUCUGGCUGAACAAAACUACCGGAGACUCCUUAGCAAUAAAAAAAUGCAAAUGGAAUCUAGAGUCCCAUUUAACCGAAAAGCAACGCGAACGAUGGAAGGCCGAAGUCGGUAUAAUGGAGGGCAUUCGAAAUGAGAACAUUGUGGCCUAUUGUAAGAUGCCGGAAGACUUACAAAGGGGCUUGAGUUAUUACAGUUCGCAACUUCCGUUGUUGUCGAUGGAGUAUUGCCGUCUUGGUAAUCUCCGCUCUGUUUUGGUCAAGCCUGAGAAUUGCUGUGGGUUGAGGGAAAUGGAGAUUUUGUGUAUUAUUAGCGAUUUAGUUAAUGCUUUGAAGUACUUGCACAAACUUAACGUGAUACAUCGCGAUAUUAAGCCUGAAAAUGUUGUCUUGCAGUUGUGCGACACUAGGCCACGCGGUGUAAUUUACAAGUUAAUCGAUUUGGGAUAUGCGAAGGAGAUCGACAGUGAAACGGCAAGUUUUGUAGGAACCUUACAGUAUUUGGCGCCCGAAAUUUUCAUUAAGCAGAAGUGCACAAAGACGGUUGACUAUUGGUCACUUGGGAUUGUUAUAUUCGAGAUUAUUUGUGGGAUACGGCCAUUUUUGCACACCUUCACUCCAUGGCAAAGUCUUGCCCAUUUGGAGAAGAAACCGUCCGAUGUGAUUGCAAUUCAGUUGACCUAUAAUGGGCGAAUGGAGUUCUUCACGCAGUUAUUUAAAGAAAACCAUAUAAACAUGUGUUUGGCGCACUUAAUCGAAAAGUGGUUGCAGAUUGCGCUGGAAUUUAGCCCCGAUCUUCGCGGUUCCUACAACCAUUGCGAUUAUAUUUUUGCAGUUCUUGAAGAGAUUUUGUUGAAGAAGAUUAUUAUGGUCUACUCUGUUUAUACGUGCGAAUUUCUCAGCUAUGAAAUAAACGAAUCAACAUUAUUGUCGACGGUUCAAGGUUGGAUUGGACGGGAUACAAAGAUUCCCAUAAUGGAUCAGUGUAUAGCAGCAACCCAACAUUCUGAUAGUAUUUAUGCUAUAGGGUACUACAAUAAGGAAAGUCCCAUUACGCUGUUCGUGUUCAAUAGGUGCGCCCCCUUCGCUUCUAUAACAACGCAGCUACCCGCACUAAUUAAAAUACUUUUCGAAAACUGCAAGACUGAAUUCAAGUUUGGUACAAUAAAGCAGCUAUACGCGCAUACAGCAUUCUUCGUCCUAAGAGAAAUGAGGCUCGUUUCCGGUCUCAAAUUCGCAAUAACCUCUCAGUUUAAUUGUCUACAAACCAUUUUUGAUAAAUGUAAUUUACAAUACGCCCAAUUAAGGGAAGUUUUGAAGAAAUUUCUAUGCGAAGUAGAAGUAUACAAUUAUCAGGACCUCUCACUCUCUGCUAAGGUAUACGAGGACACCAAUUAUAGUCAAAUUUUGGAACAAUUCGAUGGGCAAAUGCGACGAUUCGCCCAGGUGGUCGAGAUUUUUAAUAAAAUCGUACUGAGGCGCGAGGCCUUGCUGGAGAAGUUUAAACGGGUCGAAGCCGCCAACAGAGUCGCGUUUCGGGCAUUUCACCUUGACAAAUUUGAAUCGCUCGUACAAGGAGCGUGUGAUGAUGUCAACGCAAUAAAUAUGUAUAAUCCAUCGAGUUUGACUGGCGGUUCAAAGAUUUUUAAAAUCGUUUCUGAUACCCUAAAACUUAAAGAUCUUUUGUUACGUGACAGCUUUUUGGUCUCUUACUUGAGAUGUGUAAGCUACUGCUGGAAAGAGCUGGAAAAGUUGAAUUCGUGCAUGGCAGGUCUUGGUACUACCACACCACAACUUACUCUAGAUCUAAGGCAGUUGCAAGCGGAGAAACUUAGUUCGCUUAGUGAUAUGCACAGAAAGAAAGCGAAUCGCACGCAGGCUGCUUUUAAUGGCGUCAACGUAUUGGAGGAAAAUGUAGCGAUUCGAUAUAGGUAAAUUUAACAAAAAGACUUUAAUUGUGGAUUGAAUGAACUCAAUCCUUUUUCCAUUUCAGGAGUUAAUGGAUGCCAAAUUUCGCCGUAUUUCAGAGUGCCUUUAAGGAGAAUUCAAGACUGACUGCUGUGAUUUAAGCAAACAAGUUUUACACUAAUGUGUGCUGUGAUCGUUUCUAUUUAACCCACAUCAAUAUCCUCCAUAUGGGUGCCAUUGAAGGGUGGUGAUACUAUUGUGUCAUAUUGUUAUAGUUAAAAUAUUGUAAUAGCAAUAGUUAGUAUAAGUAUAAAAUGUUAUACCUAUUCAAAGGUACAGGUAUAAAGUCUUUACUAUGUUAUGUUGGUUUGUUUGUAUAACAAUGGAUGUUACUGGAAAUUAUUAUUGUUAUACUGAUUUAGAAAUAUAUUAUUUUGUGAAAAAAUAUACUCACCAUUAGAGCUCUA